AAAAUAGAAAUAAGGAAAAAGCGUGAGCCAUUGGAUAAUCUUUCAUUAACUGACGUGGAUCAUCACACGUCCUAGAAGGGCAAGUUCACCAUACUCCUUGGUCAACUGAAACACGCCAAGAAUUUAAAAGAGUCAUAACAAUGGACGUGUGUGAUUGUAUCUGGAAAACACAAUGGACGCUCCUGAUUGAAUCUGGAGACCAGACGGUGGCCAGCGCCACCGUCUUCUCCGGCCAAACUCCGGCCACAUCAAAAAUUG
Molecule: long non-coding RNA, 258 nt
Filed under: Lathyrus oleraceus (garden pea)
Lineage: Eukaryota; Viridiplantae; Streptophyta; Magnoliopsida; Fabales; Fabaceae
Description: Pisum sativum (pea) long non-coding RNA (PSAT_LNC002429)
Source: RNAcentral